GAUCCUGGCUCAGGAUGAACGCUGGCGGCGUGCUUAACACAUGCAAGUCGAACGAAGCACUUUUACAGAUUUUUUCGGAAUGAAGUUUUUGUGACUGAGUGGCGGACGGGUGAGUAACGCGUGGGUAACCUGCCUCAUACAGGGGGAUAACAGUUAGAAAUGACUGCUAAUACCGCAUAAGACCACAGAGCUGCAUGGCUCGGUGGGAAAAACUCCGGUGGUAUGAGAUGGACCCGCGU
This 239-nucleotide ribosomal RNA is filed under the name uncultured bacterium. RNAcentral describes it as "partial 16S ribosomal RNA". It matches the Rfam family "Bacterial small subunit ribosomal RNA", at positions 15 to 236 of the family's 1533-position model. The record is from RNAcentral.